UGGGGAAUAUUGGACAAUGGGCGCAAGCCUGAUCCAGCCAUGCCGCGUGAGUGAUGAAGGCCUUAGGGUUGUAAAGCUCUUUCGCCGACGAAGAUAAUGACGGUAGUCGGAGAAGAAGCCCCGGCUAACUUCGUGCCAGCAGCCGCGGUAAUACGAAGGGGGCUAGCGUUGUUCGGAAUCACUGGGCGUAAAGCGCACGUAGGCGGAUUGUUAAGUCAGGGGUGAAAGCCUGGAGCUCAACUCCAGAACUGCCCUUGAUACUGGCAAUCUCGAGUCCGGAAGAGGUAAGUGGAACUGCGAGUGUAGAGGUGAAAUUCGUAGAUAUUCGCAAGAACACCAGUGGCGAAGGCGGCUUACUGGUCCGGUACUGACGCUGAGGUGCGAAAAGCGUGGGGAGCAAAACAGGAUUAGAUACCCUGGUAGUCCACGCCGUAAACGAUGGAGGCUAGCCGUUGGCGAGCAUGCUCGUCAGUGGCGCAGCUAACGCAUUAAGCCUCCCGCCUGGGGAGUACGGUCGCAAGAUUAAAACUUAAAGGAAUUGACGGGGUCAUAGCUGUUUCCU
This 562-nucleotide ribosomal RNA is filed under the name uncultured bacterium. Its description in RNAcentral is "partial 16S ribosomal RNA". It matches the Rfam family "Bacterial small subunit ribosomal RNA", at positions 355 to 1375 of the family's 1533-position model. The record is from RNAcentral.